Molecule: ribosomal RNA, 460 nt
Filed under: uncultured bacterium
Lineage: Bacteria
Description: partial 16S ribosomal RNA
Rfam family: Bacterial small subunit ribosomal RNA
Source: RNAcentral
CCUACGGGGGGCAGCAGUGAGGAAUAUUGGUCAAUGGGCGGGAGCCUGAACCAGCCAAGUAGCGUGAAGGAUGACAGCCCUAUGGGUUUUAAACUUCUUUUAUAAGGGAAUAAAGUGCCCCACGUGUGGGGUUUUGUAUGUACCUUAUGAAUAAGCAUCGGCUAACUCCGUGCCAGCAGCCGCGGUAAUACGGAGGAUCCGAGCGUUAUCCGGAUUUAUUGGGUUUAAAGGGAGCGUAGAUGGGUUGUUAAGUCAGUUGUGAAAGUUUGCGGCUCAACCGUAAAAUUGCAAUUGAUACUGGCAGCCUUGAGUACAGUUGAGGUAGGCGGAAUUCGUGGUGUAGCGGUGAAAUGCUUAGAUAUCACGAAGAACUCCGAUUGCGAAGGCAGCUUACUAAACUGCCACUGACAUUGAUGCUCGAAAGUGUGGGUAUCAAACAGGAUUAGAUACCCCAGUAGUC